RNAcentral lists this unclassified non-coding RNA (1074 nucleotides) under Hevea brasiliensis (rubber tree). Lineage: Eukaryota; Viridiplantae; Streptophyta; Magnoliopsida; Malpighiales; Euphorbiaceae. The record is from RNAcentral.
GCCUUUCAUUUUCCAACACCAAUUUAUCCCCUAAACUAUCAACAAACUCCUUAACCUUAGAUUUCAAUUCCAAUUCCAGUGCAUCCUUACCAUUUGAUACUGAAGCAUCGUCAAUCAAUUUCUCUUUUCCUUUCUCUUCUCUGCUAUAGGUCCUCCUUCCCCUUGAAUUGCUGCUCUGAUUUUGGGUUUUCCCCAAUUGCUCAGUGACAACAGCAUCUUCGCCUUUGUUCCUUAUUUCUUCUCUUCCACAUCCCUUCCUUCCCCUUGAAUUACUACCCUCAUCAAUGUUUUUCUUUUCCUCCAAUUUCUCAUUAGCAACAUCCACUUUACUCCCCUUCCCUCUCUCGAGGUCUCCCACCAUCUGUUUAAUCCCAUUGUCAAUUAAAUUCUCCCCAACUUGCCCAACAUGGGAUUUCUCUUCCUUACGUAAUUUGCCCUUUCCUUUCCCUUCAGUGACAUAUUGUCCGCUCGACCGCUUAGCACUCCCAUUCUCCUCAAAAUUCAAACCCUUGUCUUCACGUUCUGUUCCUGUCUCAACACCCGAAUUAUCACCUCUAAAUCUCUUAGUAGCCCGUUUCCCAGACCUCAAGUUCAAAAUCCCAGGCAAACUCAUUCCAGCCCCAUUAUCUUUCACACUACCUUCAUUAGCAAUUUGAUCCGCCACAUACGCCGCAUUUUGCUCCUCAAUCCCUUCGUUCUCUUCAAUCGAGCGCUUGCUGGCGGAACCCUUCGUCUUCCGGGACCCAUUUUGAAUGCAACCAUCAACUGGAAUUGAUUUAUAAGCGAGACGGAGGCUCCGUCUCCGGUAGGACUCGGUGAUGGAAGCGGACUCGGAAGCCAAUUGGUGAUUUUGGAGGUUCGGGGUGAGAGAAGGCGAUGACUGGCGGAUGGAGGGUUCGCGUAAUUGGACAGGAGUGACAGGCUCCGGAGAGACCCGAUUCGUUUGGGGUUUGGGAGCAGGGUCAGCAAGGAGUACUUCGCGAGACCUAAGCACAACCAUGGCUGCUCCUGCAGGACGAAGAUAGAUGAUGAAGAUACAAGAAAUGGCGGGAAUGAAGUUAGAGCGAGCAAGUG